This 253-nucleotide ribosomal RNA is filed under the name uncultured bacterium. Its description in RNAcentral is "partial 16S ribosomal RNA". It matches the Rfam family "Bacterial small subunit ribosomal RNA", at positions 524 to 776 of the family's 1533-position model. The record is from RNAcentral.
GACGAACCGAGCGAACGUUAUUCGGAAUCACUGGGCUUAAAGGGCGCGUAGGCGGGCGAUCAAGUCAGGGGUGAAAGCCCCCAGCUCAACUGGGGAAGUGCCUCUGGUACCGGUCAUCUCGAGGGAGGUAGGGGCGUGCGGAACUUCCGGUGGAGCGGUGAAAUGCGUAGAUAUCGGAAGGAACACCAGUGGCGAAGGCGGUUAGCUGGCCUGUAACUGACACUGAGGCGCGAAGGCUAGGGGAGCGAACAGG